Molecule: long non-coding RNA, 357 nt
Organism: Labeo rohita (rohu)
Lineage: Eukaryota; Metazoa; Chordata; Actinopteri; Cypriniformes; Cyprinidae
Exons: 4
Source: RefSeq, a predicted model, not a curated record
AAAAAGACAGAGCUGGAAGGUUGCACAUUUCCAUUGCUCCUAGAAUAAGCAAAUCAACUCUGCCAUUAUCUUUGGAAUUUGGGCAGGAAAUGAUCGAAUAUGGAGGAUGAAGCCAGUUUGAAGAGAUCAAUUCAACAGUCACCAAGUUCAGCACUGCAGCCUGAACCCAUCAGGUAUCUGCUGUGAGGACUGCAUUCAUGAACGGCUCUACUGUGACAGCUCAGAUGUUACGGUCCAUAAAAGUAAACUUCACAACUGAUCAACUGCGAGAUAGUUAUGGAGGGAUUCUUUUGGCCCAUACCUCCAACAACCUCCAACAGGAGUCAAUGGACAUCUACACCAGGUGGUGUGUGAGAG